RNAcentral lists this ribosomal RNA (478 nucleotides) under uncultured bacterium. RNAcentral's name for it is "partial 16S ribosomal RNA". It matches the Rfam family "Bacterial small subunit ribosomal RNA", at positions 28 to 506 of the family's 1533-position model. The record is from RNAcentral.
GAUGAACGCUAGCGGGAGGCCUAACACAUGCAAGCCGAGCGGUAUUGUUUCUUCGGAAAUGAGAGAGCGGCGUACGGGUGCGUAACACGUGUGCAACCUGCCCUUAUCUGGGGGAUAGCCUUUCGAAAGGAAGAUUAAUACUCCAUAAUAUAUUGAACGGCAUCGUUUAAUAUUGAAAGCUCCGGCGGAUAGAGAUGGGCACGCGCAAGAUUAGCUAGUUGGUGAGGUAACGGCUCACCAAGGCGAUGAUCUUUAGGGGGCCUGAGAGGGUGAUCCCCCACACUGGUACUGAGACACGGACCAGACUCCUACGGGAGGCAGCAGUGAGGAAUAUUGGUCAAUGGGUGCAAGCCUGAACCAGCCAUCCCGCGUGAAGGACGACUGCCCUAUGGGUUGUAAACUUCUUUUGUAUAGGGAUAAACCUACCCUCGUGAGGGUAGCUGAAGGUACUAUACGAAUAAGCACCGGCUAACUCCGU